CGAAGGUCCCAAGCGUUAUCCGGAUUUAUUGGGUUUAAAGGGUGCGUAGGCGGGUUGUUAAGUCAGUGGUGAAAGCUCCGAGCCUAACUCGGAAAUUGCCAUUGAUACUGACGAUCUUGAGUACAUUUGAGGAGGGCGGAAUGUGUCAUGUAGCGGUGAAAUGCUUAGAUAUGACACAGAACACCGAUUGCGUAGGCAGCUCUCUAAACUGUAACUGACGCUGAGGCACGAAAGCGUGGGGAGCAAACAGGAUUAGAUACCCUGGUAGUCCACGCCUUAAACGAUGAUCACUCGAUGUGUGCGAUAUACUGUACGCGUCUGAGCGAAAGCAUUAAGUGAUCCACCUGGGGAGUACGGUCGCAAGACUG
This 368-nucleotide ribosomal RNA is filed under the name uncultured organism. RNAcentral's name for it is "bacterial SSU rRNA". It matches the Rfam family "Bacterial small subunit ribosomal RNA", at positions 526 to 896 of the family's 1533-position model. The record is from RNAcentral.